CCAAAUGCUCCUUAUAAUGAACCCAGCGGUGGCAAACACGCAUUGCACAUGUCUAGAUCUUGUUAUUGUAGAUCUCUCACUGAUUGCACUAGCAAAUGCUUAGGGGUGGUAAUGUUGAUUGGUCAGAUUCAGGUCAAAAGUCCUCAACAUAUAUCCAACCCAUUUAUAAUGAAGCUGGAAAGCGUAAAACCCAUAUGGGAGCCAUUUAUUUUAGAUUUACUUAAUACCAAACCCACCAACCAAACUAUGGAUUUCACUGGACAAUAAGAGGGGCGAUAGGGUAUGGCAUCAUAAUAAAGUGAGAGAGAGAGAGAGGAGAACGAAUUAAAGUGGAGAAGACUAAGAAAUCCUGAACAUGCAAUCUACUCAAUUUUUCUCUAAGAAUAUUUGUUCUUUUAACUGUUAACUGCAUGGGCUUCCUAAUUACCCUCACCAAGCCUUGACUAGCUCAUUGUCCAUCGCACUAUUACAACCAUCCAAGGGGCCUCGAGCCCUUGGGACUAGGUUAUAAGGGUUUGUCCAACCUGAGGUUUUAAAUGUUGGUACUGACAAUAUAUCCAAAACUAACAAAAUCAAAAUAAUGAAAAACAACUGGCACUGACCGAUUUGGUCGGUAUGGUACCAUUAGUUCAGACUGGUACAAACUAAUACAGCUAGUAUGUACCGGCAUGGAUGAUUUUGACAUCCUAACACCCGUACCAGUGCUGGUUUCACAUUAAAAUGAUACAAUACAGAUGGCACUGUCCCAUUCCAACGAUUUUUGAAUUCAUGGUCUAACCUAUGGUGACUUCUCAAGUAUGUGGGCCAAAACUAAAGCCAACCCAUUAAAAAUCAAGGUCUUCAAGAACCCAAAAAUCCAACCCAAUUAUUAAAAAUCCUAACCUAGAUACAUUUAAUUCAAGCAUUUUUGAGUGGGAAGGCAUGUCCGAAUUUAAAAACUUUCAACCCAACAAAGUCCCUUGGGAAUUCAUUAAUGAGUAACUAUAUGAGGCUCUUAUUUUGUGUGCAUGAAAAGUCCGCUUCACCACAAGGCAACAAGGGGAAUCAUGCAACUUUCAAGACAA
RNAcentral lists this long non-coding RNA (1064 nucleotides) under Phoenix dactylifera (date palm). RNAcentral's name for it is "long non-coding RNA (PDAC_LNC016128)". Lineage: Eukaryota; Viridiplantae; Streptophyta; Magnoliopsida; Arecales; Arecaceae. The record is from RNAcentral.